Molecule: non-coding RNA, 192 nt
Organism: Mogibacterium pumilum
Lineage: Bacteria; Bacillati; Bacillota; Clostridia; Peptostreptococcales; Anaerovoracaceae
Source: Rfam
UAAGUUCUGGGAUAUGCGUUGUGUAUCAUUAAUUGAACCUACACUACUUGCACGGGAUUCCGAGUUCGCUGCUAGGCGAUAUGCUAUGCUGAUAUGGCAGACAAUUAGAAAUUACUGAAUAGCGACAGGAAGUACCCACCUUAUCAUUCGAUAGGGCGUCAAUUAAUAGCAUGACGGUAUUUCGGAUCUUUU